Long non-coding RNA from Sceloporus undulatus (fence lizard), 343 nucleotides. RefSeq lists it as uncharacterized. The transcript is spliced from 3 exons. Lineage: Eukaryota; Metazoa; Chordata; Lepidosauria; Squamata; Phrynosomatidae. The record is from RefSeq and is a predicted model, not a curated record.
CAUCAUAUGCUGAAAGCGGCGUGAGGAGGAAGGGGUGGCACAUUCCCAAAAAUCAGCCCCUGGGGAACACAUCCGGAAUGGAAUAGGAACUUCCGGCAGCAGUGACGGUGUUCUCCUGUGCGGUUGAAAGGAUAUGAAAAGAUGAUGAAAUCCUCCAAAGAAGAAAGAAGAAUACAACUUCAUCUACCAUUUGCAGGCACUUCACAGUCAGAAUAGCACACUUUGGAGAAGAAAAUGGAAAUGGAGUUAAUAGGAUGAGAAGAUGUCCAUUCCAAGAAGACAUUCUUUUACAAAGAAGAAACAGACCAUGGAUGUGUAAUUGACUAUUACACUGCUCACCACU